UGGGGAAUAUUGCACAAUGGGCGAAAGCCUGAUGCAGCGACGCCGCGUGAGGGAUGACGGCCUUCGGGUUGUAAACCUCUUUCAGUAGGGACGAAGCGCAAGUGACGGUACCUGCAGAAGAAGCACCGGCUAACUACGUGCCAGCAGCCGCGGUAAUACGUAGGGUGCGAGCGUUGUCCGGAAUUACUGGGCGUAAAGAGCUCGUAGGCGGUUUGUUACGUCGUCUGUGAAAUCCUAGGGCUUAACCCUGGACGUGCAGGCGAUACGGGCUGACUUGAGUACUACAGGGGAGACUGGAAUUUCUGGUGUAGCGGUGGAAUGCACAGAUAUCAGGAAGAACACCGAUGGCGAAGGCAGGUCUCUGGGUAGUAACUGACGCUGAGGAGCGAAAGCAUGGGUAGCGAACAGG
RNAcentral lists this ribosomal RNA (409 nucleotides) under bacterium. Its description in RNAcentral is "partial 16S ribosomal RNA". It matches the Rfam family "Bacterial small subunit ribosomal RNA", at positions 355 to 776 of the family's 1533-position model. The record is from RNAcentral.